GCUUUUGCCCAGAGGAAGGGGAAUUGGGUGCCUUUGGGAGGUCGGACGCAGGGUGUGGCAAGGGUGUGUGUUAGGUUGUGUGUGUGAGGUGUUGGGUUAAGUCCCGUAACGAGAGGCGCACCCUUGUCCUUAGGUACCAGCACCUCGGGUGGGCACUCUAAGGAGACUGCCGGUGACAAACCGGAGGAAGGUGGGGAUGACGUCAAAUCAUCAUGGCCCUUACGGCCAGGGCUACACACGUGCUACAAUGGUCGGUACAAAGGGAUGCCAAGUCGCGAGGUGGAGCUAAUCCCAUAAAACCGAUCGUAGUCCGGAUCGCAGUCUGCAACUCGACUGCGUGAAGUCGGAAUCGCUAGUAAUCGUGAAUCAGAAUGUCACGGUGAAUACGUUGCCCGGGCCUUGUACACACCGCCCGUCACGGACAUGGGAGAGGGUUGCUC
RNAcentral lists this ribosomal RNA (440 nucleotides) under Pseudomonas aeruginosa. RNAcentral's name for it is "bacterial SSU rRNA". It matches the Rfam family "Bacterial small subunit ribosomal RNA", at positions 992 to 1420 of the family's 1533-position model. The record is from RNAcentral. Lineage: Bacteria; Pseudomonadati; Pseudomonadota; Gammaproteobacteria; Pseudomonadales; Pseudomonadaceae.